Molecule: non-coding RNA, 311 nt
Organism: Paramuricea clavata
Lineage: Eukaryota; Metazoa; Cnidaria; Anthozoa; Malacalcyonacea; Plexauridae
Source: the annotation of a GenBank genome assembly
CUAAACUUUUCAAAGGUUUGACCCCAGCAAAUUAAAGUUAAAAUUUUUACAUCAGUUUCAGGUAAAAUUUGCAUAAUAAAGUAAUUAUUUUUGUGAAAUGAUAACCAUUUUUGUAAAAUACAGUCAAUUUACAUACAAUUUGUUUGCGAAAUUUGCUUUAGAAAACGCCAGAAAUUCAGUCCUAGAGCUUUGAAAAUGUAAAAAUUUUCUGGAGAAGGACCCCCAGACCCCCCUUUUCUCCCAAAACUUAGUAUAAGAGUGCCAAUCAAUCACAAAAAGCUUUAUUAUAAUUAUUACACGUAUAAUCCCCA